AUGGCAAAUGAAGAAUAUUCUGAUUCUGAGCAGAUGGUUAUUCAUAACAUUUCGGCAGUGUCACUGUUUCGAUAUGUGCUAUUUGGAAGACUAUUCAAAACACCACGUAGUACUUCCAAAUUAACGGGUGCUCAGAAAACUAAAGAGUGGUUAGAAGGGCAUCCAGUUAGAUUUUAUGAACAACUUCGCGUUGAUAAGCACACCUUCUACUUACUGCGAGAUGCAUUGUGCGAGAGGAAUUUACUUAAGGAUACAAAACGGAUGGAUGUGAAUGAACAACUAGUGAUAUUUCUACAUACAAUUGGGCAUAAUGUUAGGAAUCGUGUUCUCCAGGAUAUAUUUCAACAUUCAGGAGAAACAAUUAGUCGACACUUCAAGAGAGUUUUAAAAGCCAUAAAUGGUUUGCGUGAUGUUUGCAUAACUGAUCCGGCCAAUGAAGUUCCAACCAAAAUAUUGGCCGAUGAAAGGUACUGCCCAUACUUCAAGAACUGCAUCGGAGCAAUUGAUGGGACACAUAUUAAUGCAAAGAUCAAGCUUGAUAAGCAAACUCCAUAUAGAAAUUGGCAUGGUUAUCCAUCUCAAAAUGUUAUGGCAGUAGUGUCAUUUGACAUGUCAUUUUUAUAUGUGGCUGCUGGAUGGGAAGGUUCUGCAUCGGAUCAGGCCGUUUUACGGUGGGCUGUUACUGAUGGUGGCUUUGUUGUUCCAGAAGGUAAAUUUUAUCUUGUUGACUCGGGAUACGCAAAUACUCCAAGAUUUAUUGCCCCCUACCGUGGAGAUCGCUAUCACAUUGGUUCUUUCCGUGGAACUAAUCGUCGGUAUAGUAGUGAGAAAGAUCUGUUCAACCAUCUACAUGCACAACUGCGGAAUGUUGUAGAACGCACUUUUGGUGUUCUAAAAGCCCGAUUUCCAAUAUUAACCAGGAAUGGAGGAAUCCCUUAUCCUUACAAAAAACAGGUCCAAAUUGUUAUGGCUUGUUGCAUCAUCCAUAACUUCAUUAGGAAGGUUGAUAGGGAUGAUGAGUUGUUUCAGCUUUUCGAACAAGAGGGUAUAGAAGGAAAUGUUGACACAGGUGACCAACAAGUUAGAGGGCACGUAAAUUUACAAGAAGAUGAUCGAGUUGCUGGUGAGCGAUUACGUGCAGGCAUCGCUCAACAGUUGUGGACUAAUCAUCAACGACGUACCACGCAAGAAGAAGAAGAAGAUGAUGAUGAUUAA
Molecule: ribosomal RNA, 1215 nt
Filed under: Triticum aestivum (bread wheat)
Lineage: Eukaryota; Viridiplantae; Streptophyta; Magnoliopsida; Poales; Poaceae
Description: partial small subunit ribosomal RNA
Source: RNAcentral